ACUCCUACGGGAGGCAGCAGUGGGGAAUAUUGCACAAUGGGCGCAAGCCUGAUGCAGCCAUGCCGCGUGUGUGAAGAAGGCCUUCGGGUUGUAAAGCACUUUCAGUCGUGAGGAGGUAGUGUAGUUAAUAGCUGCAUCAUUUGACGUUAGCUGCAGAAGGAAGCACCGGGCUAACUCCGUGCCAGCAGCCGCGGUAAUACGGAGGGUGCGAGCGUUAAUCGGAAUUACUGGGCGUAAAGCGCAUGCAGGUGGUUUGUUAAGUCAGAUGUGAAAGCCCGGGGCUCAACCUCGGAA
This 294-nucleotide ribosomal RNA is filed under the name uncultured bacterium. Its description in RNAcentral is "partial 16S ribosomal RNA". It matches the Rfam family "Bacterial small subunit ribosomal RNA", at positions 335 to 620 of the family's 1533-position model. The record is from RNAcentral.